RNAcentral lists this ribosomal RNA (653 nucleotides) under uncultured bacterium. RNAcentral describes it as "bacterial SSU rRNA". It matches the Rfam family "Bacterial small subunit ribosomal RNA", at positions 145 to 811 of the family's 1533-position model. The record is from RNAcentral.
AACUCAGAGAAAUUUGAGCUAAUAUCGGAUGAGGCAUUUCGAUGUCAAAGGAGCAAUCUGGAUAAGGAGGGGCCUGCGUCUGAUUAGCUAGUUGGUAGGGUAAUAGCUUACCAAGGCGACGAUCAGUAGCUGGUCUGAGAGGAUGAUCAGCCACACUGGAACUAAGACACGGUCCAGACUCCUACGGGAGGCAGCAGUGAGGAAUAUUGGUCAAUGGACGAAAGUCUGAACCAGCGACGCCGCGUGUGGGACGAAGGAGCUUUGCUCUGUAAACCACUGUCGGAAGGGAAAAAAAGAAGUACGAACUUCUGGGAUUGUACCUUCAAAGGAAGGAUCGGCUAACUACGUGCCAGCAGCCGCGGUAAUACGUAGGAUCCAAGCGUUGUCCGGAUUUACUGGGUGUAAAGGGUGCGUAGGCGGACUCGUGCGUUAGGGGUUAAAUGCUUCGGCUCAACCGAAGAAAUGCCUUUAAUACGGCGAGUCUUGAGUGCGAGAGAGGAUAGUAGAAUUCCUGGUGUAGCGGUGAAAUGCGUAGAUAUCAGGAGGAAUACCAGUGGCGAAGGCGGCUAUCUGGCUCGUAACUGACGCUGAGGCACGAAAGCGUGGGGAGCAAACAGGAUUAGAUACCCUGGUAGUCCACGCCUUAAACGAUG